AUCUUUCCGAGACAUUUAAAAAUCAAGGAUGUAAAAAAAAUACACCUUGACAAAUACUUUUCUAAAAUAAACUUGACAAAUAUUUUUAAAACUUUCACUGAUUUAUUGAAUAUGAAAUAAUAGACGAGUUUUAGUAUUUGAGCGAAUCAGGCCUACAAACACAGUUUAUCCAAAAUAGUUUAAAUCAAGUAAUAGUCAAUAAAAGUGACCGUGCUAGAACCACGGGACUCUAG
RNAcentral lists this long non-coding RNA (233 nucleotides) under Capsicum annuum. Its description in RNAcentral is "long non-coding RNA (CANN_LNC015217)". The record is from RNAcentral. Lineage: Eukaryota; Viridiplantae; Streptophyta; Magnoliopsida; Solanales; Solanaceae.